This is a long non-coding RNA of Ipomoea nil (Japanese morning glory), 342 nucleotides long. RefSeq lists it as uncharacterized. NCBI's taxonomy places the organism in Eukaryota, Viridiplantae, Streptophyta, Magnoliopsida, Solanales, Convolvulaceae. The record is from RefSeq and is a predicted model, not a curated record. The transcript is spliced from 4 exons.
AAGUCCUUGCAAAAGGGGCCAACCAAAGAAGAAUCAGACAGAUCUCACCGUGCAAAAGAGAUAUGAAGGGACUAGGUCUGCCCAGAGAAAACUUAAAGAAAAGGAUUCUAAAAAGCUUCAUACUAUUAAAGAUUACGGAAAAGAGUUGGUAGGGGCUAAAGUCAAAGUCUGGUGGCCCCGGGAUAGAAGGUUAUAUACACUGAUGAUGAUGUAGAAAUCUUGAAUCUCAGAUGUGAGCGCUGGGAAUUGCUUGAAGAGGUUCCAGUCAAAGAAGGGCUUGUAACUGACUGACUUUGCUUUCUGAUGGAGUAAAGAGGAAGAGGAAGGGAGAUGAGCACAAAA